CCCAGUCUUUGGUCAGAGGUGAAGAAGAGAUGACAUCCUCCACACCAUCCUCCUGCUGCUCUCAACAACCAUCAUCGCUGUGCUGGACAGACUGCAGCACCCACCGGGACCCUUCUCUCAUGGACUACACAAACAUGUGUUUUACCUGCUUGUGCCCCAGAUGUCCUGAAGCAGCUCUCAAGGACCACCAGACAUCAGGCUGAAGCAGAACUGAUGCUGUAGUACCUGUCACUCACUGGGCUCGUUCCUGCUGAACCUCCAAGAAAUAAACCCCUCUUCAAGAAAGUCUGAGGUAAUGUCUUGGUGAACUUGUGUUCAUUUAUUUUUUCUUAGUUAUCUUAGCUGCUGUAUUAAUGCUUGUGAUGCUAUUGUACAGCUCUGCUGAUACCAUCGUCUUUAACUGCAGUGUUUUCUCCCAGGUCUUCUUAAAGCCAGUUAAGAGAGGAAGAACAGCUUAGACACUCAGACAGCUGAACACACCAAAGGUGGACAUCAUGCAGCCACCCUGAG
Molecule: long non-coding RNA, 510 nt
Filed under: Xyrichtys novacula (pearly razorfish)
Lineage: Eukaryota; Metazoa; Chordata; Actinopteri; Labriformes; Labridae
Source: RNAcentral